This 440-nucleotide ribosomal RNA is filed under the name uncultured bacterium. RNAcentral's name for it is "partial 16S ribosomal RNA". It matches the Rfam family "Bacterial small subunit ribosomal RNA", at positions 338 to 795 of the family's 1533-position model. The record is from RNAcentral.
CCUACGGGAGACAGCAGUGGGGAAUAUUGCACAAUGGGGGAAACCCUGAUGCAGCGACGCCGCGUGAGUGAAGAAGUAUUUCGGUACGUAAAGCUCUAUCAGCAGGGAAGAAAAUGACGGUACCUGACUAAGAAGCCCCGGCUAACUACGUGCCAGCAGCCGCGGUAAUACGUAGGGGGCAAGCGUUAUCCGGAUUUACUGGGUGUAAAGGGAGCGUAGACGGCAGCGCAAGUCUGGAGUGAAAUCCCAUGGCUUAACCAUGGAACUGCUUUGGAAACUGUGCAGCUAGAGUGCAGGAGAGGUGAGCGGAAUUCCUAGUGUAGCGGUGAAAUGCGUAGAUAUUAGGAGGAACACCAGUGGCGAAGGCGGCUUACUGGACUGUAACUGACGUUGAGGCUCGAAAGCGUGGGGAGCAAACAGGAUUAGAUACCCGGGUAGUC